GACGGGGGGGGCAAGUGUUCUUCGGAAUGACUGGGCGUAAAGGGCACGUAGGCGGUGAAUCGGGUUGAAAGUGAAAGUCGCCAAAAAGUGGCGGAAUGCUCUCGAAACCAAUUCACUUGAGUGAGACAGAAGAGAGUGGAAUUUCGUGUGUAGGGGUGAAAUCCGUAAAUAUACGAAGGAACGCCAAAAGCGAAGGCAGCUCUCUGGGUCCCUACCGACGCUGGGGUGCGAAAGCAUGGGGGAGCGAACAGG
RNAcentral lists this ribosomal RNA (252 nucleotides) under uncultured bacterium. RNAcentral's name for it is "partial 16S ribosomal RNA". It matches the Rfam family "Bacterial small subunit ribosomal RNA", at positions 524 to 776 of the family's 1533-position model. The record is from RNAcentral.